AGCCCACCUCAAAUGCUACUUUCUCUGCAAUGUCUUCCUUUGUCCCCCCAAUUUAUAAAAACAGAAAAACCUUCACCACUCCACCUCUGUUCCUGGAUCUUAUCUAUAAUCUUUUUUUCAGCACAUUCUUAACAAUGAUACAUUAUUUUGUAUUAUAUUUGUUUGUGCACAUAUCAAUCCACUACUUGAUUGCCAUAAGGACAGUGUUUAAUCUAAGCUUUGUAUUUCUUCCUAGGAAACUAAUUAAAUAGAAUUAACACAGUAGAGAUUGUGACCAGACAAAAAACACUUUUAGUUGAACCUGUUUAAAACAACUGGUCAUCUGAACCAGUUCCCUGACACCAAAGACAAGCACCUACUGAAUCUACUGAAUCAUAAGGAUCAGAGCUCUCCAGUUGGAAGGUCUCCAAAGUUUCUCCAUGGUCUCAGGACAUUUGUAUAUCCCAAGUUAAGAGUUCCUUCCUGGAUAGAAUUCUCCUCAGACAACUUAUCUUUGACAAAUGGUAAGCUUUAUAUAGAAAGAUUUCAUCUCUUCAUUUUCCGUCAGUAGCUCUCUUGGUUUAUACUCCACUGAACACCAUGCAUCUCUAUUUUUUGUGCAUAACAUUCCUCUAUUAGAUUGUAAUCUCCUGUAACCCAAGGAUUAUUUCUUUUUCUUAUUUGUA
Sarcophilus harrisii (Tasmanian devil) is the source of this 665-nucleotide long non-coding RNA. RefSeq lists it as uncharacterized. The transcript is spliced from 3 exons. The record is from RefSeq and is a predicted model, not a curated record. Lineage: Eukaryota; Metazoa; Chordata; Mammalia; Dasyuromorphia; Dasyuridae.